This 1884-nucleotide long non-coding RNA is filed under the name Sus scrofa (pig). RNAcentral describes it as "lncRNA (ENSSSCG00065033845.1)". Lineage: Eukaryota; Metazoa; Chordata; Mammalia; Artiodactyla; Suidae. The record is from RNAcentral.
AUGCUCUCCCAGCUCUCCACCGCCCUGGUGACUUCCUCACGCUGGGGCCACCGGCCUUUCUGGUUCCCCUUCGGCAAAUACACUCCAGUCCCCCAGAGACCGAUUUCCACGGAAACCAUGGCCACAGGGCGCCUUCUAGAGAGGCUGUCUGUCGAGCAGGGUGUGGCAGAAAGGAGGCACAGUCUCAGGAUGACAUUAGUAAUGGGAACAAGACACAGAGACAGCAGAAAAGCCCGUGAACAUGCCAAGUGUUUGAGAACAUUUCUAUCGGUGGAGGGACAGACCUCAGAAAGAUCAGGAGGCCAGACACAGAGCACCUGCUGUGUGCCAGGCUUGAGGCAAAGUGCUGGAGGGGUCGGGGGUCAGAUGGCACCUUGUCUCCAGGGCGUUUGCAGCCUCUCAGUGCACAGAGAAUCACACCAAACAAGAGCACAGCAAAGAACGGAGCAUACGGGCGCACGUCACCAGGGAAAACCAUCCUGUACUGAGCUGGAAACGGUCCCGAGAGAUGACGUCUCGACAAGCAGGCCCACGACGAAGCAUGAAUGGCAGCACGUGGGAACAGGACGGGGUGGUAGACGGAAGAACUCACCUGGCUGGUUGGUGAUGCUGUUUGAUUCACGGAAACCCCGAACAGGAAUGUCUGGCCUCUUGCCUGACGGGGGCCUGGGAGGACGGGGACCAGGUCCCAGCCAACCUUGCCCUCCACGGAGCUCUGGGCACCGAGACUGGAGGGCGCCAGGAGAGCCGGAGAACCAAGGGUUGCAUCUGUGCUCUGGUUUGGGUUCAGUUUUAUUUUAAGGCCAGGAAAAUGCAAAGCAUCCUGGCCUGUAUUCCUCACGAUUCUUGCCAGGGGAAAGAAAUCUGUCUCCUGUUUCAAGAACUGCGCGCGAUGGCUUGUGGUUGGGGCAGUAAAGACAACCCCACAGAACUUUACAGGGUGCAACGGGCUUUCCUUCGUCAGAUCCCAAGUGGGACGCCAGUAAGCCCUGACCGCCAAUCCUAUUCAUCAGCCUAGUCACGGAGCUGAUGGCUCCCGACUAGAUCCCCAGACUUCCUGUCCCCUGUCAACACGGGGCCAGGCUCCCCCAGCAGAAAGAGUCUUGGAACCACAAGCCACCACCUCGAGCCUCAUCACGGGCAUACCUUCCCCUUCAGAUGCUGCAGAGAAGCUGUGCGAUCAGACACACACACUUACACACACCUCUUCCUGCGCGCCUCCUCCCAAGGCUGUGUCACAAAUCUAUUGUGCCACCUGGAAUUCCCUCCCCACCUCCCCAACCCCAAAUGAUUUUUUUUUUUUUUUUUGGCUUUUUAGGGCCAAACCCACGGCAUAUGGAAUUCCCAGGCUAGGGGUCGAAUUGGAGCUGUAGCUGCCGGCCAGGGCCACACCCGAUCCGAGCCACAUCUGCGACCUACAUCACAGCUCAUGACAACACUGGAUCCGUAAGCCACUGAACGAGGCCAGGGAUCGAACCUGCAUCCUCAUGGAUACCAGUUGGAUUCAUUACCACUGAGCCGCAGCAGGAACUGAUUUUUUUUAUUAGUGGAUUCUACAUGCCUACGUUGGGUGAUUUGAGAAGAAGGAGAACGCAGAUAUUUGCCCACUAAGAUGAUCAUUAUUAUCAUCAUGGCAUAUUUUUAAGCAUAUUUUUACCGUAGUUGUCACCAUCAUACCCACAGGAUCUUGUCUCUUGCAUACAUUUCGCCUGCCGUCAUCCCAGGCAUCUCCCAUGUCCCUAAAAAUGGUUUGUCAGGCCUUACUUUCAGAAGUUUGCAACACUCUGCAGUGAGGAUGUACCACCAUUUUUCUAACCAAUUAUUGUUGGACAAUUAGCUGUUUCUAAUGUUUCAGUGUUAAAUAAAAAAAUGUUGCAGUGACCA